AAAUGCUUGUAUUGUCAGAAAAAAACAGCAGCAGGUAGAUGCAUUUACAAUAUUAAUUUUAAAGUCAGAAAAGGACAGGGAUCAGCUCUCAAUCCUAAGAUGGCAACAUAGUGCUGGCUUAGUCUACCACACCUUGAUAUGUGCUUUGGCCUUGUUGAGCAGUCCCAGUGUGGUGUGCCGACUGCAGUCUGGUCCCAGAGGGAUGAGGGACUUCAACCUCUCCAAACACAGCCGGAGAUGUGCUCGUCUGUGGGAGGAGACACAAUCAAGCAAGACACUUCCCGAGGAAGCGCCCGAGACAGGAAACUCAAAGCAUCAUGGGUACAAGACACAGGGCAGAGUUCACUCACCAGGUUGUCCAGCAUCCUCAUGAGGGACUCGAACUCGGCCUCGCCCACUUUCCACUUGACCUCGUUGUCCAUCACCACCCCGGCAGCAGCAACUCCCUGGGUCAGGGGCUUGAACUUCUCCCUGUCCAGCAGCACGAGGUGAUCGACACCACCCACACACCUCAAAGCAUUCACCUAAACAAGGACAUUAGUUUCAUAAAAUUAGUCUAUUCAUACAAUUUCUACUGACAACUUUACUCAUAUAUCCAAAUACAGAAAACAGUCAUUUUAGAAUAUUCUAUAUUUUAAAACACUUAAUUUGAAAUACAGUCUAAUUAUAUAAGAAGUGAACUGCAAAUAUGUGUCCAAAAUGAUGAGGAAAUGCUAAAACACUGCAGCAUAAUGGGAAAAAAGCCCACCCUAACUGCCUCUUCAACACAAAGCAGCAAGAGUAUUUCAGAAACACUGCAGGCCUCCUCCACCUGACUGAGAACACAGAUCUCUUGCACAUAUUUGACUUGCUCAAACAUACUGUACGCUAGAACUCAGCUUUGCUUCAUGCACUGCUUUGUCUUUUGAGUCUGUCUCAUUUGUUUAACAAAAGAAAAAACAUCUCGGAAUGAUGAAAAGCUGUCUCGCUGACUCAGACACAUAGAGCUACCUUACAAAGUGUCAAGUGUGUGGAAAGGCCACUCUCAAGUUUACAAAUUGCUUUGACCCGAGUGGUGCAAUUACACUUCAUUAGCACGCAGAGGUAGGAUGAAGAAUGCGAAUCAAGCUCUUUUUGUACCUGGAUUUCACAGGCUUGCUGUGAGUGGUAGACAUAGUGAAAAGCUUCUUCUACUGUUUCUCCCAAAGCCAGUAGCCCGUGAUUCCUCAGGAUCAUCACCUGAAAAACACACAACGCUUUAGCUGCCUGAUGGCUCGUCAUAAUCACUGCUAUAUACUGAAACAAUCCAGUUGAGCAACUGCACAUUAACAUAUCCAGACACUAAAGUGCAUUGAUUAAUUCCUGCAUACAUUAAUGACCAAAUGCCAACUUGUCAACAUGUUUUGACAUGACACGUGCAGCAAAAAUACUUCACAAUACAAAAUGUUAAUUGUUCUCUUCUGGUAAUUUGGGGCUGUGAAAACUGUAAACACACAAGAUGGAAAUAGGAGCAUUAAAAUCUGAACUGAUGGUGUCAAGAGGUGGCUGACCCUGUUCAUCCUCAUGCAUGCAAAUAAUUAAAGGUACAGUUUGACAUAAUAGAAAAACAUGCACAUUCCUGUUGUCGUGGAGAGUUAGAUGAGAAGAUUAAUACCUCACUCACAUCUUAGCUUAGUGGUAACAACAACGUGACUACCAGCAUUUUUAAAGCUCUCUAAGUAAUAGCUUAUAUCUUUAUGUGUUUGUGCACAAAAGGAAGAGUAAAAAUCACUUCUACAGUGGGUUGUGUGCAGAACUAUUUAUUGACUUGGAGAGGCGAUAUUUUGGAGUUUCCGCCGGUUGCCUGGCAAUCUUACAGGGAUGAUAAGACUUGAGAAAGUUUAUAUCAGGCCAGAAAUAGUCCAGCACAAAAAAAUGUCUUUUGACAAAUGAGCUGUUUCCAACAUGUUUUACACUUUAUGCUGAGCCCACUGCCUCCUGCUAAUAACUGGCUCGAUAUAUAAUUGAGGGACUUUUGAAGUCCAUGGGAUAUAUUCUGCAUGCAUUUUUAUUAGAAGUAAAAAAAAAACUAAUGUUUUUUAUGUUCAUUAUGAUCAUGUCUUUACAAAUUCCAUAAUUAUUAUGGAAACAAUCACUUACUAAAAAAAUGACUGGAUAUCACUAAAAUGUCAACUAAAUAACUGUCCAAAUUUAAUAACAACCACCUUAUAAUUAGCUAAUCAGUACUAAAAUCAGCUUAUUUAAAAAUUGUUUUGAUUGUGUUCUUUUUAUUAAGUUGAGAUAAUCAUGACAAAUAUUUAUUUUUUUGGCAAUAUAUCAAAAUUUAUAUGGAAAAUAACAAAUUGUACCUGUGUCUAAGUUCCCCAUUACAAAAACACAUCUCAAGGAAGUGUUAAUUCCAGAUCACAUGACCUGCUCCACAUGAUGUCAUUUCCUCCUGAAGAAAAGUCUGGCCAGACUCCAAGGCUUUCUGAGUUAUUUAAUAUAAAGUAGUGUGUGAGUCAAGUGUGGAUUUAUGGCAUGUCAACAGGUUUACUACAAUACUUUUAUCAAUAACUUUCAAUUUUACUCAAUUGUAUAUAUAAUAUUUUUAGAAGAAUCUUUCUGUAAAAAUGCCAUGUGGUGAUUUUGAUUUUAGGGCCUGAAAACAGCAAAAAUGUCAACUAUGUUACAAAAAGUUACAAUUAUAUAUUUACCCAACUGCGUACUUAGUUAACAGGUAUGAGAGUGGUAUUGAUCUUCUAAGGCCAUUUCCUAAAAUGUCACUAUUUACCAAACUCUUGCAGUAAGAGGUGCUUCUAAUAUUCUUGUCUAUUUAUGUAAAUGUUUACAAAAUUAAGAGGUAAAUACCUACAAUUUAAACAAAGUACUUGUAGUUGAUACACAAAAGAUAGAUGGCAGCACACUUUAAUUGUACACUUUCACUGUAUGCUCAUGUAUUAAUGUAUUUACACACACUAACCAACAGGUACAAAUUGCACAAGUGAGUUCAGUGUAAUAAAACCGGGCCGCUCUGUCCCAUGUGAAAGUGAGUCUGCCACUAAUGGAGUGCCUUGAUUUGACAGUACCUUGGCAGUCGGGCCCAGAGCUUUCUGAAACUCCACCUUCUCCUCUUUAUUAUCCAGGCUGCCAUGGUAACCAAAGCAGCUCACGUCUCCCAGAAGCAAAGCCUCCUGGGAAAUGGGCAGGAUUCCACAUUUCAUCGAGGACACCUGUUAGCACGGGAUAACAGCGACUGAGACGGUUUCCCAGAGACUAUGGGUUGAGGAGGAAGUGGAAGUUUGUCGGCUUAGACCUGGUGUCAUUCCAUCAGUGUUAAACUUCCCGGCUCAUCUUGGAAGAGUACGUGCCAGAAAGACCACGACCAAGCAGCCUUGAGAUCUUAGACAGCGUCUCCCUGAGGUCCCUCUCUAUCUCCCCACACAUCCACCAACCACUGGAACACAUCUCCAAAGUUCUGCCAGGCCAGCUCAGCUUCCCCUCAGAAGAAGUUCCACCAGAUGAAGGAGCCUUUUGAGAGGCAGCUGGCAUCGUGAUUGGACUGUACUUUGGUCUGUUCCAAUCCAACUUCAGCUCCAGAGACGGCAGGCGGGACGAGUCAACGGAGGCCUGGUGGAUGAAGACAUGCAGCUCAGUACAAUCCAGAAAACAACAGAGGAGGAGUGCAUCAGCCCAGAGCCAGAACAGAGUAGCAUCGUAUGUCUCUUAGAAAACAUCAUAGUAUAGCCUUUGGUAUGAAAAAACGCCAUCAUAUACAUCGUAUAUUGUACAAAUAACAAGUCAAAGGAAAGAGACAUACAUUGUAGGAUUGUAGUAAUUGUGGGCUGACUGGUUUACUGAUUAUCAGUAUUUUAUUUUUUACUGAUUUACGGUAAUAAAUACAUUUAAAAAUGGC
Long non-coding RNA from Amphiprion ocellaris (clown anemonefish), 3874 nucleotides. RefSeq lists it as uncharacterized. NCBI's taxonomy places the organism in Eukaryota, Metazoa, Chordata, Actinopteri, Pomacentridae. The transcript has 4 exons. The record is from RefSeq and is a predicted model, not a curated record.